GAAGGUUGAGCUCAGUGGUAGAGCCCAUGCUUAGCAUGCAUGAGGUCCUGGGUUCAAUCUCCAGGGCCUCCA
This 72-nucleotide transfer RNA is filed under the name Camelus bactrianus (Bactrian camel). It matches the Rfam family "tRNA". Rfam says of the family: Transfer RNA (tRNA) molecules are approximately 80 nucleotides in length. Their secondary structure includes four short double-helical elements and three loops (D, anti-codon, and T loops). Further hydrogen bonds mediate the characteristic L-shaped molecular structure. tRNAs have two regions of fundamental functional importance: the anti-codon, which is responsible for specific mRNA codon recognition, and the 3' end, to which the tRNAs corresponding amino acid is attached (by aminoacyl-tRNA synthetases). tRNAs cope with the degeneracy of the genetic code in two manners: having more than one tRNA (with a specific anti-codon) for a particular amino acid; and 'wobble' base-pairing, i.e. permitting non-standard base-pairing at the 3rd anti-codon position. RNAcentral also lists the same sequence under 1 other name. The record is from Rfam by way of RNAcentral. Lineage: Eukaryota; Metazoa; Chordata; Mammalia; Artiodactyla; Camelidae.